Molecule: long non-coding RNA, 383 nt
Organism: Ornithorhynchus anatinus (platypus)
Lineage: Eukaryota; Metazoa; Chordata; Mammalia; Monotremata; Ornithorhynchidae
Exons: 4
Source: RefSeq, a predicted model, not a curated record
GCAACAGCAAGUGAUGCAAUAAUUGCUGCCCUGGGGGAGGAUGAUCAUAGAACACCUGGUCCCAUAACUACGGUGCUGGUCUGGGCCACCUCUACACACAGGUCAGCUGAGUCCUUCAUCUGAAAAGCACUGUGCGUGUCAGGAGUACUGACAAGACCAGUAAACUUGAGCCUCGGCCUGCGACUCUCUCCCGUGCCGCUGCUGCUCAGCACAGGUGCUCUGACUUCUUUGAUGCUGCAGAAAACAAGAAUAUGACCCUGGAAGAGUUGGUCUUGGUGUGAUAACUUUCAUGGAUGUUUUCUUCGUCAUCCUCAUGAGCUGGGCAAGUGGCUACAUGGUGAUCAUGCUCUACCGACACCAUAAACAAGUGCAGCACAUCCGCA